Molecule: small nuclear RNA, 22 nt
Filed under: Arabidopsis thaliana (thale cress)
Lineage: Eukaryota; Viridiplantae; Streptophyta; Magnoliopsida; Brassicales; Brassicaceae
Description: snRNA_07615
Source: RNAcentral
GGCUUAACUGGGUUAACCCAUU